RNAcentral lists this ribosomal RNA (253 nucleotides) under uncultured bacterium. RNAcentral describes it as "partial 16S ribosomal RNA". It matches the Rfam family "Bacterial small subunit ribosomal RNA", at positions 524 to 776 of the family's 1533-position model. The record is from RNAcentral.
UACGUAGGGUGCAAGCGUUAAUCGGAAUUACUGGGCGUAAAGCGUACGCAGGCGGCUAUGUAAGACAGGUGUGAAAUCCCCGGGCCUAACCUGGGAACUGCAUUUGUGACUGCAUAGCUAGAGUCCGUCAGAGGGGGGUGGAAUUCCACGUGUAGCAGUGAAAUGCGUAGAUAUGCGGAGGAACACCGAUGGCGAAGGCAAUCCCCUGGGCCUGCACUGACGCUCAUGCACGAAAGCGUGGGGAGCAAACAGG